This 442-nucleotide long non-coding RNA is filed under the name Zostera marina. RNAcentral describes it as "long non-coding RNA (ZMAR_LNC001636)". Lineage: Eukaryota; Viridiplantae; Streptophyta; Magnoliopsida; Alismatales; Zosteraceae. The record is from RNAcentral.
UUUCAGAUCUUUGCGAAGCGCCAAGAUCUUCGUGACAUACUCAUCUAUUUCUUUCUGCUUGGACUCAAUGGUCUUGUCCUUCUUCGGCAAAAUAUUGUCACGGAGGUUCUCCAUCCUGGACCUCAUAUUCUUCAGCUUAUCGAGAGCCUUCUCGCUCUCUUUGAACUUCGCGUCGAGUUGGUUGUAUUUUUCUUGUAUCUUCUCGACGUCAUGGAUAGAGUCUCCAUGAUAACAAGCAUGUGCCAUAUAGCAUGCGGCAUUCAUAUGCUUUAAGAGCUCGCUCCGGCACCAGGUCCCAGGAUGACCCAAAAGGAGUGACAUCGCUUCCCUUCGAGUUUCAGCAUCAGCCAUGAAGUCGGGAAGUGUCACUCCAGCAGAAGUGUAAGGCACAUAGCCCCUGGGAGGUGGUGGUGCAGAGCGAGAGCUCGACCCAUGCUCAAAG